This 468-nucleotide ribosomal RNA is filed under the name uncultured bacterium. RNAcentral describes it as "partial 16S ribosomal RNA". It matches the Rfam family "Bacterial small subunit ribosomal RNA", at positions 28 to 507 of the family's 1533-position model. The record is from RNAcentral.
GACGAACGCUGGCGGCGUGCUUAACACAUGCAAGUCGAACGGAAAGGCCCUGCUUUUGUGUGUUGCUCGAGUGGCGAACGGGUGAGUAACACGUGAGUAACCUGCCCUUGACUUUGGGAUAACUUCAGGAAACUUGGGCUAAUACCGGAUAGGAUCUCCUGCUGCAUGGUGGUGGUUGGAAAGUUUCGGCGGUUGGGUAUGGACUCGCGGCUUAUCAGCUUGUUGGUGGGGUAGUGGCUUACCAAGGCUUUGACGGGUAGCCGGCCUGAGAGGGUGACCGGCGACAUUGGGACUGAGAGACGGACCAGACUCGUACGGGAGGCAGCAGUGGGGAAUAUUGCAGAAUGGGAGGAAGCCUGAUGCAGAAACGCCGCGGGCGGGAUGACGGCCUUCGGGUUGUAAACAGCUUUAGCCUGUGACGAAGCGUGAGUGACGGUAAUGGGUAAAGAAGCACCGGCUAACUACGUG